UCCGUCCUUCCCCGAUCCAAAUCCCCCACGUGCCGUCCACCUUCUGCCGCGCCACCGCCACCCCGCCUCCGUCCACCUUCUGUCGCGCCAUCGCCGUCUCGCCCUGACCCCGUCCACCUUCUGCCGCGCCGCCGCCGUCUCGCCCCGCCCCCGUCCACCUUCUGCCAUCCCGCGCCACGCACCACGGCCCCCGCCGCCGCCGGUCACCGUCAGGCGCAACCAAACCCAUCCUCUCCACCUCCUAGGAGCUCCCAUGGCCACCCCUUCCCCCUCCAGAGCUCACAUCGCGAGUUUUGGAUCCAGCGGCCACCACCCCUCAUCUCCCCGUCUGGGCUUCCCUCCACCUCCCACCGCCACCAAAGCGCCAGCCGAUGAUGGAUCUGCUGCCCGACCAUGGAUCCAAGCCGGCAACCGCCCCCUACGCGCCUCCUGGCCAUGGAUCUGUGCUGGCUACCUGCCCGAUCCCGCGACUCCGGUGGCUGCUCAUCCAAAUCGCCAGGGACACCCCCCCUCCUCACGGCUGGCAUACCGAUUCCCGCAUGUGUGCUGCAACGAGGCGGCAUGUGUGCUGCAACGAGGCGGCCGGCGAGCUGCCUCCUCCCGGCCGUGGUCAUGCUCCAUGUUUGGGCCCCUGUCUUCAUGCAGAAUUGAUUUGGGCACAGCGCUGUAGUUCGCUUGGGGUGUCAGUGAUGUGCAGUUCGUCGUCGUGGGCGCGGCGUGGAGCGGGAGCCUAAAAAGCCAUGGCCACCCCUCCUCCCCUCCCACCCCAUCCCCCUACCCCAUCUCACCCACCACCAUGAUGUGCAGGCACCAGGAGGCCACCUACGUUCCUCUCUCGAUCUUCUCUGCAGCUGAGCACAAAAAGCGCCUCCCAGUGAGCACCGGCUCCGGCCUUGGGAUAUCAACCCUCCCUCUAUCAUGAAUCCUCGGUGGGGCAGCAUGGUGAUGCAGUUCGGCAUACACGCACGUGCAGCACGGUUGUGGCGGCGAGGCAGCUCGUGUAGUUCCUUCAGCUAGUAGAGCGUCGGCCUUAGUUUAGAUUUUUUUUCAGGUUUUGCUAAUGCAGUGCGGUGUGAAAUUCAACUGUGUGUAUGCGAGCGUCAACGAGCCUCCAGAAGUAGUUCUUUGCUCAACUUGUUGCGGUUCCCUGGCGGCGGGAGAGAAGUGCACUGCUCUAGGGUGCUCUCCUUCAAGGGGGGAAGCAAAAAUGCUACACUUACGGGCAGCACACAAGCAAAUUAACUUACGGACUACCUCCUAACCAAUCCCUUGCGAGCAGCCCCUGAUUUAUAGUGUGGGCCCUGCUGCCCUUUGUUUUCCAAUUAACCAUUGCCAAAUCAGUCCGUAACUUGCUUUCCGUGGGAUAUGUCCGUAAGUCUAGCAUAGUUGAACAAGUUCAAUACGUACUGAAAAAGAGUGCACUUCAUAAACAAGUUUUUUUUUUGCGUUUUCAUAAGAAUUUAAUGUGUGCAGGUACACCACAGUGCACAGCCCAUUCGGGUUCAGUUCACUAGUUGAAAAAAAUCACCGUCCUUCAGUUUUAGUGUUGCAGUGCACUGUAAAAAAGCGUUGUGUUUUAAUCUGUACAAAACGUUCCAUUUGAAAAUAAAAAAUAAAUUAGGCAGUUCACUCCAUCUGCCAUGGUGAUUUACGAUUUUUUUUGAAAAAAGAACAGUGCAGUACACUUGGCCUAGGUUCAGCUUUUUAAAAAAGAGCAGUGCGGUUCACUCGUCGACCGUCUGAUGCAGUGCCUUUUUAGUUGGAAGAAGUUCUAUUGGAUGCCCCAUUACUCAAUUUUGUUGUUGUUGAAAAGUGCACUUCAUUAGUUCAAUGUAAAAACUGCAGUUCAUUACCGUGAUUUGGCUGGUGGAGAGUGCAGAUUUUGUAUGCUAUAAAACUCCUCUGUUGUCCACUUGGUAAACACAAAACAAAAAGAUCUCAAAAUGAA
Long non-coding RNA from Aegilops tauschii subsp. strangulata, 1948 nucleotides. RefSeq lists it as uncharacterized. Lineage: Eukaryota; Viridiplantae; Streptophyta; Magnoliopsida; Poales; Poaceae. The record is from RefSeq and is a predicted model, not a curated record.